CCUACGGGUGGCAGCAGUGAGGAAUAGUGGUCAAUGGGCGCGAGCCUGAACCAGCCAAGUAGCGUGAGGGAAGACGGUCCUAUGGAUUGUAAACCUCUUUUGUCGGGGAGCAAAAGACGCCACGCGUGGCGUUACGAGAGUACCCGAAGAAAAAGCAUCGGCUAAAUCCGUGCCAGAAGCCGCGGUCAUACGGAGGAUGCGAGCGUUAUCCGGAUUUAUUGGGUUUAAAGGGUGCGCAGGCGGAAGAUCAAGGCAGCGGUAAAAUUGAGAGGCUCAACCUCUUCGAGCCGUUGAAACUGGUUUUCUGGAGUGAGUGAGAAGUAUGCGGAAUGCGUGGUGUAGCGGUGAAAUGCAUAGAUAUCACGCAGAACUCCGAUUGCGAAGGCAGCAUACCGGCGCUCAACUGACGCUCAGGCACGAAAGUGUGGGUAUCGAACAGGAUUAGAUACCCUGGUAGUC
This 459-nucleotide ribosomal RNA is filed under the name uncultured bacterium. RNAcentral's name for it is "partial 16S ribosomal RNA". It matches the Rfam family "Bacterial small subunit ribosomal RNA", at positions 338 to 795 of the family's 1533-position model. The record is from RNAcentral.